UACAGAGGUCUCAAGCGUUGUUCGGAAUCACUGGGCGUAAAGGGUGCGUAGGCGGCGGAGUAAGUCGGGUGUGAAAUUUGAAGGCUCAACCUUCAACUAGCACCUGAUACUGCUUCGCUAGAGAUCUGGAGAGGGACUUGGAAUUCUCGGUGUAGCAGUGAAAUGCGUAGAUUUCGAGAAGAACGCUCGCAGCGAAAGCGAAGUCCUGGACAGCAUCUGACGCUGAGGCACGAAGGCUAGGGGAGCAAACGGG
RNAcentral lists this ribosomal RNA (253 nucleotides) under uncultured bacterium. RNAcentral's name for it is "partial 16S ribosomal RNA". It matches the Rfam family "Bacterial small subunit ribosomal RNA", at positions 524 to 776 of the family's 1533-position model. The record is from RNAcentral.